GGAAAGUUGCCAGAGAGGUCGAAUGGGGCGGACUCGAAAUCCGCUAUACGGUUUUACUGUAUCGGGGGUUCGAAUCCCUCACUUUCCG
This 88-nucleotide transfer RNA is filed under the name Prevotellaceae bacterium. RNAcentral's name for it is "tRNA-Ser". It matches the Rfam family "tRNA". From Rfam's summary of the family: Transfer RNA (tRNA) molecules are approximately 80 nucleotides in length. Their secondary structure includes four short double-helical elements and three loops (D, anti-codon, and T loops). Lineage: Bacteria; Pseudomonadati; Bacteroidota; Bacteroidia; Bacteroidales; Prevotellaceae. The record is from RNAcentral. RNAcentral also lists the same sequence under 1 other name.